Long non-coding RNA from Haliotis rufescens (red abalone), 1490 nucleotides. RefSeq lists it as uncharacterized. The record is from RefSeq and is a predicted model, not a curated record. The transcript is spliced from 6 exons. NCBI's taxonomy places the organism in Eukaryota, Metazoa, Mollusca, Gastropoda, Lepetellida, Haliotidae.
CGCAUCGUUCUAACUUUCUGCGUACUUUUGUACUGCCUUCAGCCCAUGCGUCUCCAUCUCGACAGGCCACUCCACAAGCAACUCCUCAGGGACACUACUCCGGCAUCCUCCAGGGCAACAUCAUCGUCGUCAACGCCUUUUGCCAUCCCAAUGGUGACCAUGCUCUUCGUCACGCCAUCCGAGAGUAGGCAGGCAGCUGGGGCACGGCAUAGAUGUUUCUGAAUCCGCGGAAUUGUUGAAACUCCGAGAGGAAAACCGGAAAUUACCAUUGGAAAUCAGGGCACUAAAAUACGAGAACAGGCGCCUGAAAGGAAGUGUUGCCAACAGUCUACCGCUGAUGACAUCGACGUCGGCAUCGCCAUCCCCCUGAGCAUCGUCUUCCGCAUCCGCAUCCGCAUCGGCAUCAGCAUCCGCAUCCACAAUCGAAUCUGCAUCAACGUCGGCAACAGCAUCAACAACGGUUACAAUGGCGACCCAGACCAUGUCAUCUAACUAUAUAGCUGACGUGGCCAGUCAUAAAACAGAACGGAGAAACCAAAGCCAGAUCUGGCGGAAAAGGCAACGGCAACAACAGCGAUAUCGCCAAGAACAACAACAGCGUCAAAAGAGGCAUCAUCAACAACGAGAUUAACAGUCAUACGAGGAUUGCUACGUCUUCUGGACGAAGCACAGAGGACUUCCGUGUCGUCACAAAGUAUCAAGAUGAUUUCAUCAGACAGAGGCGUUAGACAGUUGACAGUCACGCCCAGUCCUGUCCCAGCUCUCAACUUCAGGAAUAAUCCUCAGUCGCAGAUCUCAGUCGCCCUACUCUGUUGCCAGACAACCUCGGUCGCCCUACUCUGUUGCCAGACAACCUCGGUCGCCCUACUCUGUUGCCAGACAGCCUCAGUCGUCCUACUCUGUUGCCAGACAACCUCGGUCGCCCUACUCUGUUGCAAGUCAGCCUCAGUCGUUCUACCCUGUUGCCAGACAGCGAACCAGCCUCAGCAACCACGUCAACUAGGCGUUGCUCCUCUACAUACAGUUUGGUACAGUCCAGUUACCUUCACCUGCCAGUUACAUCGCUUCAUGUGCAGGAAUUAGGCUUCAUUUCUAAACCCAUGGUCCGACUAAGGGCAGCUUAAGAAGUUAUUUUUCUGUUGGAAUGUUUGAACCAAGUGGACAUGUACAUGUUUAUUGCUUCCUUUAAUGUACAAUAUAACGAAGGUAUCUCAGCACCCUAUUUUGGCCCUUUGAACAUAUCUGCAUGUUUAAUUCAGUUUCACCUCAACAUGUUGGUGCCAUAGUUAACAAACGUAAACGUUCUACCCACACAGCAAUUCCCCUUGAAUCAAUGGUAUGUCACGAUUGCUCACUGGGGCAAGGUACAUAGUGCUUAUUUCGUAUGCCACUAUUGCUCACUGACGAGAUACGUCCCCCAUUAGCUUUACAUAUAGUCAUGCCUUUCUGGACGAUCGGGGGGCACAGCUGGCCCAAUCGUCUAAGGCGCC